Molecule: long non-coding RNA, 422 nt
Organism: Nothoprocta perdicaria
Lineage: Eukaryota; Metazoa; Chordata; Aves; Tinamiformes; Tinamidae
Exons: 2
Source: RefSeq, a predicted model, not a curated record
GUCUUCAGGGUGAACAUUGUGUUCAGGAUUUGAAGGCGGCCCUGUCAGCAAAGCAGAGGGAAGCAAUGGCUUCCUGCAAGCAACUGCAAGGCCUAGUGGAAGCCUCCUUGCAAAAUGGUAGCCUAAAGCAGCUGGAAGAACGAGUGGGGAGGCUUGAGCUUGAAAACGUGAGGCUGGAAGGCAGAACCCACCAACAAAGUGCCAGAAUCGAAGAGCUUCAGAAAGAGCUGCACAGCUCGGCCACUGUAAGCUGCUCCUAAUAUUUCUUCCUCVUGUAAGAAGCUCCUGGGCCUAGUUCUGUGUAUUUAKGAGGGGACAUUCUGAGAAGAGAUUUUCCUGGGGAGCCUUGGGGAACAGCAUUUCCUGCAGUCURCUUUGGUGCCAAGCAAAGRCASAACUGACAUGCUCCGUCUGUGACAAGG